GGAAACGGUAGCUAAAACCGCAUAACGUCGCAAGACCAAAGAGGGGGACCUUCGGGCCUCUUGCCAUCAGAUGUGCCCAGAUGGGAUUAGCUAGUAGGUGGGGUAAUGGCUCACCUAGGCGACGAUCCCUAGCUGGUCUGAGAGGAUGACCAGCCACACUGGAACUGAGACACGGUCCAGACUCCUACGGGAGGCAGCAGUGGGGAAUAUUGCACAAUGGGCGCAAGCCUGAUGCAGCCAUGCCGCGUGUGUGAAGAAGGCCUUCGGGUUGUAAAGCACUUUCAGCGAGGAGGAAGGUGGUGAACUUAAUACGUUCAUCAAUUGACGUUACUCGCAGAAGAAGCACCGGCUAACUCCGUGCCAGCAGCCGCGGUAAUACGGAGGGUGCAAGCGUUAAUCGGAAUUACUGGGCGUAAAGCGCACGCAGGCGGUUUG
This 435-nucleotide ribosomal RNA is filed under the name Serratia sp. (in: enterobacteria). RNAcentral describes it as "bacterial SSU rRNA". It matches the Rfam family "Bacterial small subunit ribosomal RNA", at positions 152 to 582 of the family's 1533-position model. The record is from RNAcentral. Lineage: Bacteria; Pseudomonadati; Pseudomonadota; Gammaproteobacteria; Enterobacterales; Yersiniaceae.